RNAcentral lists this long non-coding RNA (455 nucleotides) under Junco hyemalis (dark-eyed junco). RNAcentral's name for it is "lncRNA (ENSJHYG00000017561.1)". Lineage: Eukaryota; Metazoa; Chordata; Aves; Passeriformes; Passerellidae. The record is from RNAcentral.
UAUGCAGAUGAGCUUUAAAAGAAAGAUGGCAUUAGUGGGAUUUACCCGAGUGCUCAGUUAUUUAAACUCUGACUGGGUUUGUAUUCAUCUUCAUAUCCUUCAGCCACUUUGGAAAUCUGACCUUGAAACAUCCAAUGCAUCCUUGUGGGCACAUUUCAGGAGAAAUCCAGAGGAGGAUGAGAGGAGCCUGAGGAUGCACAGACAGAAUGGAUUAUCUCCUAACUUAAGAAAGUCGACUUCUUUCACUGCCUGCCUGAGCCCUGGAAGCACUGGAAACCUUUUAUGCUGAGCCCAGGGACCAAACUAGCCAAGUCUGUCCCUGGAGCUUGUCCUGCACGCCAGCUCUGUAAAGAAGCUCAUGCUCCUCACCACCACCCUGGCCAGGAGCAGUCACUUGUUCUGGACUGAUUUAUAGCCUUUGGGCCUAAUAAACAUCAGCGAGAAAGGAAGGAACA